GCGGGCGGCAAGGGAGUGAGAGGGGCCACGGUUGGAGAGAGAGUUGAGGGCAACCUCAGCAGCGGAGUGUUCAGCCUGGCGCAGGGUGGAGCAAUAGUGGGGGCUCUCGAAGAUCUCGCCGUUGAAGUUAACGGUAGCCUUGAAUCUGGGGGCGUGGUCAGGGCCUUCCCUUAUGCAGGUAUAAGAGGGAAGGUUGAAGCAGCUCCUCUGGGCCAGCUCCUGCAGCUGGUU
This 231-nucleotide unclassified non-coding RNA is filed under the name Hevea brasiliensis (rubber tree). The record is from RNAcentral. Lineage: Eukaryota; Viridiplantae; Streptophyta; Magnoliopsida; Malpighiales; Euphorbiaceae.